GCUUUGACACGUGGCUUUCAUUAGGGUGAAGCAGUAGUCCCAAUCUUCCAAAUGCACGCCAUUUUGCCUUGAAUAAAAUCUUUUGGAAUGGCUCUUCUAAUGGUUUAUUCUCUAUGAGAAGUGCAUAUCACUUGGGGCUGGAUUUACUGAAAAAGCAAAAAGGGGAAUGUUCUUUCAGGGGAAUCAAUGCUGAUUUUUGGAAAAACUUUAGUCUCUUAAAGUUCCUAAUUCCUCCAAGAUUUUUCUUUGGAGAGCUUGCCAGAAUUUGCUUCCUACUAAUCAAAAUCUAAAGAAGAAAUAUGUGUUGAAUGAUGACUUAUGCCCUUGUUGUAAAUUUCAGGAGGAAUCCACCCUUCAUGCUCUAUGGAGCUGUCCAGGUGCCCAGGAUGUUUGGGGGAGUGGCUCUUUGGCUUUUCAAAAAUGUCCCUCUUUCUUUCCUGGCAUGAGAAUCUCUUAGGCGCCAUAAGGAGUACUGGUCAACCCUAAAGAAGAAUGAAUUGGUGAGGCAGUCCCACCCCAGCUCCCUUAUUAGUAGCAAAUUUUGGAAAUGCCCAAACCUUGGGUAUAUUAAAGUUAAUUGGGAUGCCUCUUUAAAUGUUAGAAAAUGUGUUAUUGGUUUGGGUUGUGUAAUUAGAAAUUCUGAUGGAGUGAUUGUGGGGGCUAAAUGUUAUGCUUGUAAGGCAGAAGCUACUCUGUAUGGCUGCCUAUUCAGCUUUGAUUUUCUGCAAAAACAUGGGUUUCUCUAGGAUUAUAUGUGAAGGUGACUCCCUUCAAGUGGUCAAAGCUAUUUGUGACCCAAACUCCUCUUUUGUUAAAAUUGGGCACUUUGUAGAUGCUAUUAGAAAGGAAGCUUCUGAUUUA
Long non-coding RNA from Alnus glutinosa, 861 nucleotides. RefSeq lists it as uncharacterized. The transcript has 2 exons. NCBI's taxonomy places the organism in Eukaryota, Viridiplantae, Streptophyta, Magnoliopsida, Fagales, Betulaceae. The record is from RefSeq and is a predicted model, not a curated record.